AGCGAACGCUGGCGGCAUGCUUAACACAUGCAAGUCGCACGGGCAGGGGUAACUCUGUCAGUGGCGGACGGGUGAGUAACGCGUAGGUAUCUAUCCUCGGGUGGGGGACAACCACGGGAA
RNAcentral lists this ribosomal RNA (120 nucleotides) under uncultured bacterium. RNAcentral's name for it is "partial 16S ribosomal RNA". It matches the Rfam family "Bacterial small subunit ribosomal RNA", at positions 29 to 155 of the family's 1533-position model. The record is from RNAcentral.